CCUGGCGGCUAGAGCGCGGUGGUNAGAAGUGAAACGCCGUAGCGCCGAUGGUAGUGUGGGGUCUCCCCAUGCGAGAGUAGGGAACUGCCAGGC
RNAcentral lists this ribosomal RNA (93 nucleotides) under Tatumella sp. JGM100. Lineage: Bacteria; Pseudomonadati; Pseudomonadota; Gammaproteobacteria; Enterobacterales; Erwiniaceae. The record is from RNAcentral.